AGUUUGAUCCUGGCUCAGAUUGAACGCUGGCGGCAUGCCUUACACAUGCAAGUCGAACGGCAGCGGACCUUCGGGUGCCGGCGAGUGGCGAACGGGUGAGUAAUGCAUCGGAACGUGCCAUUGAGUGGGGGAUAACGUAGCGAAAGUUGCGCUAAUACCGCAUAUUCUGUGAGCAGGAAAGCAGGGGACCGCAAGGCCUUGCGCUCUUUGAGCGGCCGAUGUCAGAUUAGCUAGUUGGUGAGGUAACGGCUUACCAAGGCGACGAUCUGUAGCGGGUCUGAGAGGAUGAUCCGCCACACUGGAACUGAGACACGGUCCAGACUCCUACGGGAGGCAGCAGUGGGGAAUUUUGGACAAUGGGGGCAACCCUGAUCCAGCCAUGCCGCGUGAGUGAAGAAGGCCUUCGGGUUGUAAAGCUCUUUCGGCCGGGAAGAAAUCGCAUGGGUUAAUACCCUGUGUGGAUGACGGUACCGGCAUAAGAAGCACCGGCUAACUACGUG
Molecule: ribosomal RNA, 500 nt
Filed under: uncultured bacterium
Lineage: Bacteria
Description: bacterial SSU rRNA
Rfam family: Bacterial small subunit ribosomal RNA
Source: RNAcentral